GCUACGGGUGGCAGCAGUGAGGAAUAUUGGUUAAUGGGCGAGAGCCUGAACCAGCCAAGUCGCGUGAGGGAAGACGGUCCUAUGGAUUGUAAACCUCUUUUGUCGGGGAGCAAAAAGGCCUCGUGAGGCCCCAAGCGAGAGUACCCGAAGAAAAAGCAUCGGCUAACUCCGUGCCAGCAGCCGCGGUAAUACGGAGGAUGCGAGCGUUAUUGGGAUUUAUUUGGUUUAAAGGGUGCGUAGGCGGACUGGAAAGUCAGCGGUAAAAUAGAGAGGCACAACCACUUUACGCCGUUGAAACGGACGGUUUUGAGUGGGAGAGAAGUAGGCGGAAGGGGUGGUGGAGGGGUGAAAGGCAUGGAG
RNAcentral lists this ribosomal RNA (360 nucleotides) under uncultured bacterium. RNAcentral's name for it is "partial 16S ribosomal RNA". It matches the Rfam family "Bacterial small subunit ribosomal RNA", at positions 338 to 695 of the family's 1533-position model. The record is from RNAcentral.